RNAcentral lists this transfer RNA (74 nucleotides) under archaeon. Its description in RNAcentral is "tRNA-Tyr". It matches the Rfam family "tRNA". From Rfam's summary of the family: Transfer RNA (tRNA) molecules are approximately 80 nucleotides in length. Their secondary structure includes four short double-helical elements and three loops (D, anti-codon, and T loops). The record is from RNAcentral.
CCCGGUGUAGCUCAAUUUGGUAGAGCGUUGGACUGUAGAUCCAAUGGUUGCUGGUUCAAAUCCGGUCGCCGGGA